UAGCAUUGGAAAUGUAAUUGAAGAAAAUACGUAAUAAAAAAAAAGAAAAAAAAAAAAAGAACAUUGUUGAAGUUCUAGAAGAUGUGGAAGGCAUGAACGAAGUCAUACUGGAGAGAAAGAAACCCUAUGUUAGAAGUGUAUGGCGAGUCCCAAACAAAUCACACCAUGCAGCAGGUCUCAUGUGGAAGGUACAGCAAUGAAUCAAUUUGAAAUUAUUGAGUGGCCGACAUUGUAACACAGAGGAAUAAUGUUCUGGAAGUCUCUCUUAAAUUACUGACAUCAGAUAUUUGAAAAUGAAUAGCUGUGAAAUGUGCCUACAGAGUCUAAGCUGCAACGCAAGAACAGCCCAGUUCAUAGAAACCCUGCCCAGGAGAUGCUUCUGGGCACAGUUAGGACAGCCUGGCCUGCAGACCCCUCAGCAUCUCAAGGGAAAAAGAAUGGGAAGCCUUUUCUCACAGGUUCUGUGACUAUACAGGCUCCACAGAGGCUCCACAGAGGCUGUGUAAUCCCCAGGGGCAUCCCUGGCCUGACUGGAAAGUCUUGAGCUUGGGAAACCAUAAAAG
Molecule: long non-coding RNA, 563 nt
Filed under: Mus spicilegus (steppe mouse)
Lineage: Eukaryota; Metazoa; Chordata; Mammalia; Rodentia; Muridae
Description: lncRNA (ENSMSIG00000012941.1)
Source: RNAcentral